Molecule: ribosomal RNA, 1279 nt
Filed under: Escherichia coli
Lineage: Bacteria; Pseudomonadati; Pseudomonadota; Gammaproteobacteria; Enterobacterales; Enterobacteriaceae
Description: partial 23S ribosomal RNA
Rfam family: Bacterial large subunit ribosomal RNA
Source: RNAcentral
UGUAUAAUGGGUCAGCGACUUAUAUUCUGUAGCAAGGUUAACCGAAUAGGGGAGCCGAAGGGAAACCGAGUCUUAACUGGGCGUUAAGUUGCAGGGUAUAGACCCGAAACCCGGUGAUCUAGCCAUGGGCAGGUUGAAGGUUGGGUAACACUAACUGGAGGACCGAACCGACUAAUGUUGAAAAAUUAGCGGAUGACUUGUGGCUGGGGGUGAAAGGCCAAUCAAACCGGGAGAUAGCUGGUUCUCCCCGAAAGCUAUUUAGGUAGCGCCUCGUGAAUUCAUCUCCGGGGGUAGAGCACUGUUUCGGCAAGGGGGUCAUCCCGACUUACCAACCCGAUGCAAACUGCGAAUACCGGAGAAUGUUAUCACGGGAGACACACGGCGGGUGCUAACGUCCGUCGUGAAGAGGGAAACAACCCAGACCGCCAGCUAAGGUCCCAAAGUCAUGGUUAAGUGGGAAACGAUGUGGGAAGGCCCAGACAGCCAGGAUGUUGGCUUAGAAGCAGCCAUCAUUUAAAGAAAGCGUAAUAGCUCACUGGUCGAGUCGGCCUGCGCGGAAGAUGUAACGGGGCUAAACCAUGCACCGAAGCUGCGGCAGCGACGCUUAUGCGUUGUUGGGUAGGGGAGCGUUCUGUAAGCCUGCGAAGGUGUGCUGUGAGGCAUGCUGGAGGUAUCAGAAGUGCGAAUGCUGACAUAAGUAACGAUAAAGCGGGUGAAAAGCCCGCUCGCCGGAAGACCAAGGGUUCCUGUCCAACGUUAAUCGGGGCAGGGUGAGUCGACCCCUAAGGCGAGGCCGAAAGGCGUAGUCGAUGGGAAACAGGUUAAUAUUCCUGUACUUGGUGUUACUGCGAAGGGGGGACGGAGAAGGCUAUGUUGGCCGGGCGACGGUUGUCCCGGUUUAAGCGUGUAGGCUGGUUUUCCAGGCAAAUCCGGAAAAUCAAGGCUGAGGCGUGAUGACGAGGCACUACGGUGCUGAAGCAACAAAUGCCCUGCUUCCAGGAAAAGCCUCUAAGCAUCAGGUAACAUCAAAUCGUACCCCAAACCGACACAGGUGGUCAGGUAGAGAAUACCAAGGCGCUUGAGAGAACUCGGGUGAAGGAACUAGGCAAAAUGGUGCCGUAACUUCGGGAGAAGGCACGCUGAUAUGUAGGUGAAGUCCCUCGCGGAUGGAGCUGAAAUCAGUCGAAGAUACCAGCUGGCUGCAACUGUUUAUUAAAAACACAGCACUGUGCAAACACGAAAGUGGACGUAUACGGUGUGACGCCUGCCCGGUGCCGGA